RNAcentral lists this ribosomal RNA (63 nucleotides) under Beauveria bassiana. RNAcentral describes it as "partial 28S ribosomal RNA". It matches the Rfam family "Eukaryotic large subunit ribosomal RNA", at positions 1 to 60 of the family's 3401-position model. The record is from RNAcentral. Lineage: Eukaryota; Fungi; Ascomycota; Sordariomycetes; Hypocreales; Cordycipitaceae.
CGUUGACCUCGAAUCAGGUAGGACUACCCGCUGAACUUAAGCAUAUCAAUAAGCGGAGGAAAA